CAGAAGAUACCCUUUUUUCUUCUAACUUUGUUAAGUUAACUUUUACUAAAUCCUCUACAAUACAUCUAUAAGACUCUAAAUCAUCCGAAUCAAGCAGUGUGGGCUGGUUCUCUCCAGAUAUUCUAACACUAUGGGACCUGCGAAGCUGAACCCUUAAGCUGCAAUAAAUUUAACACGCAAGGUGGAAAACAACCAGUUAGAUGCUGACAUGUGUGUCUUUUCUCAAGGGAUGAGAACAAACUGUGAGAAACUUUGUUACUUUUGUUAACAGUCACUCUAUUUCUAAUUUUAUACAACACCGCCAUGUUAUAGAUAAAGUCAGGAAUAACCUUUGCUAAAUUCAUUUAAGAAUUAAUACUCAAAAAGUAGUGAAUGCAAGAGAGGCCCACAACAAAAUAGAAUUUUUA
This 407-nucleotide long non-coding RNA is filed under the name Arabidopsis lyrata. Its description in RNAcentral is "long non-coding RNA (ALYR_LNC003005)". The record is from RNAcentral. Lineage: Eukaryota; Viridiplantae; Streptophyta; Magnoliopsida; Brassicales; Brassicaceae.